UAGAUUAGCACAACUUACAAUUUCGCUUUAAUUAACACACGGGGCAAGUUCUAGACUAUACAUGAUAGCACAGAAAAUCACAAAUCCUCACACACACGUUGCACAUGACUCAAUCAAGAUGGUUCUGUUAAACUUUCAAGUCAAGCAAGCACACAUAAUUGAGAACUUUAAGCAACCUUGCACUAUGUGGCAUACAAGUCAAACAACUGAGAAAAGGCGUCACAAAAUAGGUUAUUUACUUUACUUAGGCUUCACAAUUCACCAAGUACAUGGAGAAGCAAAAUGUACGUCAUAGCCUAAUGUGCAAGCAUCAAUCAUGUCAAUGAGUAUCUCAGAACGACUCAGUUUCUUCCUAAACUACUCCUAAAAAGAAAUUAAA
Molecule: long non-coding RNA, 379 nt
Filed under: Nicotiana benthamiana
Lineage: Eukaryota; Viridiplantae; Streptophyta; Magnoliopsida; Solanales; Solanaceae
Description: long non-coding RNA (NBEN_LNC035139)
Source: RNAcentral